RNAcentral lists this long non-coding RNA (7739 nucleotides) under Panax ginseng (ginseng). RNAcentral describes it as "long non-coding RNA (PGIN_LNC013592)". The record is from RNAcentral. Lineage: Eukaryota; Viridiplantae; Streptophyta; Magnoliopsida; Apiales; Araliaceae.
AAAUGAAGAGGCUUCAUCAAAGUUAAACAAAUCUCCGGUUUUUGACAAGGCUUCAAACCCACUCUGAUUCUCGGCGGCGAUGUUGACGGAGACGGUGGUGGGAUUCGCCGGAAAAGCGUGGGCUUUUAGAUUGUGGGGUUUCUCUGUUCGGAUUAGUAGGGGGUUUGAUUAAGAUGAAUCUCGGUUUGGAAGAGGAUGCGUUCAGAUCUGUUAUGCUCUCCCUAUUCAUCUUUCCAUUUUUUCAGAUCUUGAACUGAUUUUAGUUCUCAGAUCUUGAACUGAUUUCAUCUCGGUUUGGAAGUGGAUGUGUUCAGAUCUGUUGUGUUUUUCGAUCUGGAUUUAUUCGUUAUUGCUCUAUUUAUUUGUUCAAAUUGGAUGUUAUCGAUGGUACUGUUAUGUCCAUCGCCGACUCUCCUCAUAUCAGACCCAGGUCGCCCCAAGGCUUCCCACAUCAAUCUCAUUAGACCCAUUUUCAGUUGCACAUCUAAUUUCGUCAAAAUCAAACUAGUCCUACUCUACUCCAAGCCUAACCUGGUAGCCUAUUCGGAAAUGGAUUCGACAAUUAUAGAGUAAGCUUCCAUUCUUAUUUGAGUAAGUCGAGUUUGGAGAUAUUGUAACUUUUACAAGGUGUGAUUUAGCAUAGAAUUAGAUAACAAACUGUUAUAGGUAUUCAAUUUUUACUGGGAUUCCAUCUAAUUAUUGAGGAUAUGCAUUGGGGCUGCUUAUUUAACUUUCGGAUUUGGUAUUGCUUUCCCUUGGUUUUUAAUUGCAUUGGGUUGUUCUGACUGAUUGAUUUGAUCAGCUUGAAAUUUUUUUGGGUUAGAGAUAACUGCAACAGAGGCUAGGUAGUUCAGUUUGGGCAGCGCACACAAGGUGCUCGACAGUUUGCCUCAGUGAGUCUUGGAAUUCAUUUUGGCUCUCUUAGGCUUAGUUUGGCAUUAUUGUAAUUCAGUCGGGAAAAUUCUAGUCAGCAAUGGAAUUCGGUUGGGAUUGGCUUGGCUGGGGUUUGAUUGUGCCUGUUCUUGGCUGGGGUUUGAUUAUGUUUGUCCCUUAAAGAUUUAUUUAUAUAAUUAUUGUUAGGAUUUAUUUAUAUAAUUGUUUUUGGUCUCCUUGCCGGAUUUUAUGGUGAUGUUUGUGCCGGAUUUUAUGGUGAUGUUUGUGCCUGUUCUUUUUUCCUUGCAAAUUCCUGUUUACCAUGGUGAGAGUAAUUAAGUCUUUAGUCAAAUAAAGUAACGGAGUUAAGACGGAAAACACUUUUUCACUUUAACUCAAAAAGUCGGGAGUUUAAAUGUAGCUUUACUGACUACAGGUGGUUAAAUAGGAAACCGUUCAAACCCCAGGUGGUCAUCUGAACUUAACCAUUUAAUCAAUACUCCUUUCUUGGAUAAGAUGACCAUGUCUGUAUUAAAACUUAUACAUAGUUUGUGUGUGUAUAUAUAUAUAUAUUGUAGCAAGAAAUUCAAAACAAAACUCUGCAAAUAAUUAUAUACUUUACCUUUUUACAACACCACAGUUUGGCAAUGCGAAACUCAUAUUACAAAAUGUACUAGAAAACAACCCAGUUAACACCAUUGACUGGAGCUUCUCUUGUUACAAUUCUCUUAUGAUUUCGUCUAUGAGUUCAUCAACCACAUGUCCCGCCACAUCCUUUAUAAUGUCAUCUGUUUCAACAUAUGCAAACAUCACCUCAUUCCACCCAAAGUCCCACAUACAGUUAAUAUUUCUAUCUGUAAUUUUGAUGUCUCUCUCGAGCAUUUUGAGCAGGUUUUCAGCAGCAUCACAUUCAUCAUGCUCAUUCAUCCCGUAGAAUUUUAACCCUUCAAAAUCCCUAUACAACUGUUUGACCAAAUCAUCUAAAGACCUUACCUUUGUGUAACUGAUGGAUAUCUUCAAGACGAGUUCUUGUUUUCGUCCUUUUCUAUUCAUUACUUCAUAAGCACAGUCUAUUGUGAGCUUAGAGACCUUAUCUUGAUAAAUCUGGUCACUAGCAUGAAGAAUGCCAACUGGUAUGUUGAGUUUGAAAAGUGCCUCUGCUGUGUUCAGGAAUAAUGGACUUUUGAUCAGUAUCUCUUUGAGGUGCUUUUCAUUUUCUGUCAAUAGCUCUUGUGUCCAUGAUGUUCGAGCUUUCUUUUUCUCUUGCUGUGGAGGGUAAGAAAUUUCCAUGCUUCCUGCAACAUCAAAGAUUAAUGUUUAAAUAUUUUUAUUUUCUCCUUUGCAAUUUAAUUAUGAAGCUGAAACCCUUGUUAUAACAUCAUAGAAGAAAUAUGUUGCUGCGGAUAAAUAAAGGCUUAAGUUCAGAAAAAGUGCUUGAUGGGACGAGCUUGUAUUUAUGUAUCAGUUUCUGCAGGUUAGGUGUUUAAGAGCAACUCCAGCAGGCCGGAGUUACGAAAAUCCUAGACUAUAGCAGAUGGACUAUAUUUAGUCCGGCCAUUUUUCCGGCAAUCCAAAAAGACUAAAUCAAGGAACGAAAAUCUCAUGGACUAUAAUUUUAAUAUUAUUAAAUGGGAGAGAGGAUAGAAGAAAAAGAAGAAGGAGAUGAAGAUCUGUGAAGAAGGAGAUGAAGGAGAAGAAGGUCUGUGAAGAAGGAGAUGAAGAAGAUGAAGUGGGAAAAAUAAAAAUAAAAAUUCAAUACAUUAAUCAACUACAAAAAAAAAUACAAUAAUUUGAAAUAAAAAAAAAUAUGUACAAUAAUCAAAACAUAAAAAAAUCUAUAAAAAAAUAACAACGGAUAGAAAUUUUUAGGGUAAUUGGAAAAUCUAUAAAUAUGUACAAUAAUUCAAUACAUUUUACAUCUUUCAAUCAACUACUCCAACAUUUAGCAAUUGUAAGUAUUUUGUUAAUAAUAAUUUGUAUUUUAUUAUAUUUGAUUUUUGUUUUUUAUUGAUAAUAUCUCUUUAAUUUAUUUUUUAGAUGGAAUAUGGUCGUUGGAAUGAAUUUUUUUUGAAUUCAUUGAUUAUUUUAAUAAUUUUAUAUUAUAGUAGUCCACAAGAUAGUCCAUCUGCUAAAAGAUUGAAGACUAAAGGACAUCUGCUGACGUCAUAUGGACUAACUAUAGUCCAGCAGAUAGUCCAUCUGCUGGAGAUGCUGGAGAUGCUCUAAACAAGAGUGGCCUAGAAGUGCUUUGAAAUUUCUUAAUAAUGAGAUAUCAUAAGUCCGUUUUCGGUAAAUAAACGGGGAAAACAUGAUGGAACACACCUUUAUAGAGGAAAAUACUAAUUGACAAGUAUUGCUGAGAGGCAAAAAAUGGGAAGACUGAUUUUCUUCUGCUAGUUAUUUAAGAAACAGAUCAACUUUAGAGAUCUGGGGACUUGUUUAUUUCAAAAUUAAUACUUACCAUCAAGUGCAUUUGCUAAAGUUUCUGGUGACUUCUGUUCUGAAUCUUCUUUGCAGACAGAUGCUUGGCGUUGGUGAUCGUUGGAAUCCUUACAAGCUUCAGAAGUUAUGUCAUGGUUCUGCAUAAUAUUCAAGGAAGGAAAAUGUGAGGAUGCUACAAAUGUUAAGAUGUAAACAGUUAUGCAUAAGAAGCAGUAUGGUAUAGUUUUAAAAACACUUUAUCAAGCCCUCAUUAUCUGUAAUUUCAUAAGCAUUUAAUAAAGUUGUGCUUACAAUGUCAUUCAAAUUUAGAGGGGAUGCUACUUUUGGACUUCUGCAUUCAUAGUCUUGGGAAUCAUUAGAAGUCACCAUCACUUCAGCUACAUCAUGCUUUUGUUGUUCUGCGUUCGGGGGUUGAGUGCUUGCUUCUAAUUUGCUUGAUUCUUUCAUGACCCCUUCUCUUUCUUUGGACCUGUCGGUACUUGGUUGUUCUGUUCCUUUUGAUCCAACGGUCUUUUCAUGUCUUCUCUGCCUCGAUUCUUGAAUAACAUUAUUAUGAUGCUUAGAAGGUCUUGCUAAGUUGUUUAGAGUUCCAUUUCUUCUGCUUACUGGUUCAUUUAUCUUGCGAGGGGUCUUAUGUCUAAGUGUUUUCAUAAUUUCUACCUUCUUCCCCGUGGCAAGGACAUGGGCAGGCUUCUUUUGAAGAAUUGGAAGCACGCUAUCUUUUGCCGUCUCUAUCUGUGAUGCUGAUUCUCUUGGAGAUGCAUUUUCGUCCAAUUUCCCAUUUAUCGAAAUUUUAGUAGAGAUUUCAUCUCCAACAAAAUCUUCAUCAUGUUUGCUAUCUGGCUUCUCUUUCAGAGGCAUUCCACCAAUAGGUUCUGUAGAACUUCUCAUAGCGACUGGUGUAUGGCUCAUAUGUGGAUUCUUCUCUUGUAAUUUUGUUGCAUCAUGCAUGGUUUUCGACGGAACCUUUGAUUUCACUGGACGUCCAUUAUGUGUUGUAGCCUGCAUAAUAGGUUUUGUGUUCUUCUGCUCUCGUCUCUUUGCUUGAUGCUUUUCUUCUUGGAGCUCAGAUUUUGGAAGCAUGUGCAACUGAUGCAAUCCACUGUCUUGCUGGACCUUUUGCUGACUUCUUUGGAUAAGCUGCUCAGAAUUUCUCUUUUCUGUUUGAAGUGCACUUUCCUUGCUCUCUAUUUUUUCUUGCAAUAUAUUUUCAGCUUCGGGGCUCCUAUGUUUCUGUAGUACUUUCUGCUGCAGUUCAUUCUUGAUGACUCGUUCCUUUGUUUCAUUUUCAUCCUUCUCUGUACCUUUUUGUUGCUUGUGCUUUGUAGAAUCCUGUCCUUUCUCCUUUUCUUGACUAUUCUUCUGAUUUUCAGGAAUUUGAUUUGAAUGGCUGAUGCUGCUUCUUGGCUUAUGUAUUGUGCUGGUGGCCUUUUCUGGACCUGAACCUUCACUAGUUCUGUGUGCCCUUCCAAAGUUCUUCCUAUGUGAAUGUUCAUCAGCAACCGCCUCUACAGAGUUCGGUUGAGGAGAUACCUGAACCUUUUCAGCUUUCAGAGAAACUGUGAAAUUUUUAGUUUGUAGUUCCUUGUGGUCUUGUUUCAAAGCAUUAUUAUUGUUACUUAGAGGUGCAAGCCUCUCAGUCUGUCGAGUCUUUGCUUCAGCAUUCUUGGUUGUUGUAUACGUGGUCUUGAAGACUAUUCCUUCUCUUUGUUUCUGGCCUGCUUCUUUUUGUCUGAUUUGUGGAUCUACUCUUUCUGGAUGUACUUCCAGCCCCAUAAGUUUUGCAAUAACACUUGACAUUCUCCCCUUUUCUGGUCUAGCUUGUGAUGAAUUUGAGUGACUCUUUGGUUCAGGACCCCAACUAGCAGGCUGCCAAUGAGUUUCUGAAUUUGAAUCGGUCAGAGUUUGUUGGUGGAAGCUAGGAGUCUUGUCAUGAUAUGUCAGUGCCAUCAAUCUCUGCUUUAGAUCAGUCUUUGUAACCUCUUUAUUGCCAUGGGAAUUCCUUGAGCGCUUAUCAAAGGAGAAUCUUGGCAGGUCAAGUUGUUUGUGUUCAGCCAUCGUCACAUUGUUGGCAUCAUCAUCCUCGUCCUCCUCCAGUAAAGUGAUCCGGUUUUUCCUCUGAGGCUUGAUCAUGUAUUCUGAAGCUUCUUGCAAAUUCACAAGCAUUUUCAAGGACUCUUCCAAAUCCACAGCCCCUUUCAACAGGUCCUUCCCAACUUCUAUCGAAUAUUUAUCAAAGUUAAGGCCAUUUGAGCAGGCCCUUAGAAUCUGGUUUAAAUUUUGUACCCCUUUUGAAAUUUCAUUAAUAUGAAAAUGAGAAAAGGUUGGGAACUGGCUAGUUGAAGUACGGUGUUUGUUGAAGCUGCUGCUUCUGUCCAUAUUCCCAGUAUCAAGUGAUCUCCGUCCAAUUUGCUGCAGGAAAUGCAACAUUGAACUAUUUCCUGAAGAGUCGUUUUUACCAUCUUUCCCCCCGUUGUGAAGGGCGAGCAUGAAGGCCAUGGGCAGACUGCCUCUUUGUUCUGAGCUUUGACCGCUUCCAUAAGUAACCAGCUGUCUUGAUUUUUCUUUAGUGCUUCCACUAGCCCUCCUCUGCGAGUUUGUGUUGGGUCUGAUCUACAAGGAACAAACAAGUUCUCACAAUUUAUUCGACUGUCUGAAGCAUAUUACACAGUAAUUCAGGUAUUUUGAAGAUUGAACGUACAGGUUCUGGUGCUUUAGUUUUUUGAGAUCCUUUGUAGGCCUGUCUAGAAUUUCUUUGCCCAUCUGUUCACCAGAAACAUGACAAAAAGAAAGCAUAUAAUAUAUAAUUGUGCAAAAACAAAUUCAGGGUGAGAAAACACACAUCGGUCAUAUACUCAGUCAGAGUUUGAAUGUUUUAAUGGCUAGCGUGGUCUAUAAUAGCAUUCAGAAAAAUAAUUUAAUUUUUUUUUUUUUUGGAUAAGUUUAUGGGAUCAUGAAUUCUGAACUUUAAACCAUCUAGUUUCACUUCAAUAAGGAGUGAAUAUAUAAAUAUGAAUAGUAAGUACGUGCUAUGGAUGAACAAACACCAUCUUUAUCGUCCAAUACAAGAAUAAAUUGCCGAGAUUAAAACUGUAAUUAUGACAUCCGGUACUAAUUGUAGCGGACGACGGGUACAUCCGCUACUAUUUAAUAGCGGAUGGUUGUAAAUUUGUAAUUAAUUUUGUCCGUUAUUAUUAAUAGCGGAUGACGUUUUUGCAGUUGUAAUCCGGGUCGUUUAUUCCAAUAAUGGAUGCUAAUAAUAGUGUUUGAUCUAUUAUUAUGAUUCACAACAAGUACUUGUUAUGCAUCAUAUAUAUAUAUAUAUAUAUAUAUAUAUAUAUAUAUAUUAUAUAAUAGCCAGUGAUGCCUAAAACUCUAAAUUAAAGUAGUUUUAAUAGAAUCAGGAGGAAAAAUAAUCUUUAUGAGCCUAUAUGGGUAAACUACUUUGCUCCAUAGGUGGAAUGGCUUGUUUUUCAAUUUCUUUUUGGAAAGCAAAAAUGGGGAAAUUGGAUAGACUAUUAAGGUAGAUAAAAAGUAUGUAUACUCCUGCAAAGAUUGAGGAUAUAUUUUGAACCUAAGAAUUCAUAUGCAAGAUCACUAAAAUGACAAUUUCCCUAGUUUCAUGGCACAAUUUUUUCUAGGAAAACAUUAAAUUCAUAUUGCUACAUGAAACAUUAAAACAAACUAAAAAAGAACUGGAUUAAUAUUCAGUUGGAUUAAACAUUAAUAUUCAAGGUUUGAAAUUAAGUUGAUAGAUUUUUUUCUGAACAAUUAAAAUUUCAGUUUCUUGUCAUUUACUAAUUACAUAUUACCUGGAUGUAUAUGUAAGACACUUACCUCUUGCGAUCAUAUUUGAAUUGCUUGAGCUUUGAGAUGCAGCCAAUCGUUCUUUUUUCAGCCGGAGAUCGUUUAGCAGCUUCUGUGCAAAGUCCGACUUUGUUGCCAUGUUGUAAUGUUAGUUCAAAGUACAUGCAAAUCAAACCCAAAGUUAUGAACUCUUUUUGGUUCCUAGCUAAUUUGAGAAACUAUUUGCACAGUUGGAGACAAGGUUGGAUUAUGUUUUGGUUUUCUUUCUUUUUGGCAGGUGAAAUGAUAGGGAAGAAAUCUUGCUUCUCUUUCAGUUGGGAGGGAUCUUUCAGUGUUGGGUAAGGUGGGAAGUGGAGUUCAAAGCAAUAAAAAUAUUGAAUGAUUGAUGUAAAUGUAAGAUCUCUCUCCACUUGAGUUACCUUGACUUUCAUUCUAAUCUAAAGCAAUCACAGAGCUUUUUAUUGUACUUCUGAAGCUAGCAUUUAUUGGAAGCUCUUGAAGUAUUUUGUUUAUGUCGGUACUUGUGGUUCGUAACUGGCCCAUCAAGUUUGGACCAAAGGUUUUGGGGGAGGGCGUAGCCCCACGGUAUAGUACGGUGUUACAAGGGCAUUAUGGGU